This 333-nucleotide unclassified non-coding RNA is filed under the name fungal sp. Its description in RNAcentral is "partial internal transcribed spacer region". The stretch from base 1 to 46 matches the Rfam family "Eukaryotic small subunit ribosomal RNA", at positions 1786 to 1831 of the family's 1831-position model. Lineage: Eukaryota; Fungi. The record is from RNAcentral.
AAGUCGUAACAAGGUUUCCGUAGGUGAACCUGCGGAAGGAUUAUCAUGUUAAUACUGAUGAACCAAUAUCAACCCAAUGCGAACUGUAACGUCCCUAUUGCACUCGAAAGGGUGCAGUAGACAAUACCCCAUAAACCUAGUAGUCACUAGUCGUUUCGCGGUGCUUCGGUGCCGUUGAGAUGAUUUAGUGAUGAACUAUUCACCAAUUUUAACCCUAUAAUUUAAACCUUGACUAAUCUUCAUAAACUUUUGUAACUUUACUCUUUACGGGGUGCGGUUGCUGAAGCUUUACGAAAUAUUGAACAACUCUUAGCAAUGGAUAUCUUGGGUCAU